This is a long non-coding RNA of Helianthus annuus (common sunflower), 571 nucleotides long. RefSeq lists it as uncharacterized. The transcript is spliced from 2 exons. NCBI's taxonomy places the organism in Eukaryota, Viridiplantae, Streptophyta, Magnoliopsida, Asterales, Asteraceae. The record is from RefSeq and is a predicted model, not a curated record.
UUUAACACAUAACAUGUAUACUUACUAGCAUUGUACUAUGCAGGAAGUGUCUAUAUGGUGAUGAAGUUUUAUCCCUCUUCUUCUCUUUAAGGUUCAGUACAUCCACAAAUGCAUCGAUCCCGUUUGAUGCUACACAUUGAUUUUUAUAGAAGCUUUCGAAGACUAUUUUGUAUGCUUCCACCCCAGUUUUUUAUUUGUAAAACAAUGAGCUGCAAUCAAACGUGCAAACAUGUAUCUAAGAAGACUGAACUCGCGAUCCAGAAGUGGUUCACUUAAAGUAACCACUCUGUCACAGUAAAGGGAACAAAAUGUACCACCAGAUUUGGAAUACUUUUUCUCGUUUCGAAUUUUUGCACUUUUUAUUGUUUUAAACAAUAUCUCAUUUAACCCUUUGGCUCAACCUUUGUUUUGUCUCCUUUAUCAUUUGUUCCUGGGUUUUGUUUUGCUUGUUCAUCGGAUGGAUUUGGGUCCGGUUUCCUUUUAGUUGCUGGAUUUUUCCCUUGUGUACUUUAAGUGUUAAAGUUGGAUUACUUCCUUUGUGUACUUUAUGUGACAACUCGUAUUUCAAACC